Molecule: long non-coding RNA, 3159 nt
Organism: Hemicordylus capensis (graceful crag lizard)
Lineage: Eukaryota; Metazoa; Chordata; Lepidosauria; Squamata; Cordylidae
Exons: 3
Source: RefSeq, a predicted model, not a curated record
CAUUCAUAAGCCAUUGCCAGGUCUUGGUGAUGCAAAAGGAGAAGAAGAUGCAAAAGGUGCUGAAGACAGCCUCCUCUAGGACCAUGAGGUCGGGGCUUACAGGCCUGUUGAGGGGGGAGGUUGAACGGUCAUGCUUUUGAGUGCGUUGGAUCGCUGUAAGUUGGCCACCCGGUUGUCCUGGCAGUGGCCCUUAUUCCCCCCUUGCACCUGAAGACGCAGUGGUGCGUGGGGCAUUUUGGCGGGGUGCACCAUCACGUGGUGGUGAUGGGGCUUACCAGGCUGGAAGGAGUCCGCCGAUUUCUUCUCCUUUGGCAUCAGCACAUGAAGGAUGCUGGAUCUCUGAGGCUCCAUUGGCAGGGGAAGAGAAUUGCAAUGAUAGAGAGUUUUUUGGUUUAGUUUUUUUUUUUUUAAGGUAUAGAAGGCGAGGUACGGAAGGGUGGGGGAGGCAAAGAGAAAAAAGUGGAGUAGAGGUAGAGUGAUAUAGAAGCAAGGCAGCGCCAUCUGCUCUGGAGCUCUGCAGGAGCUCUGCAGGACAAACUAAACUGGAAGGUGCUAUCCUCCCGGGCCUCUUAAAGGCUCUGACUAAUUUAAAUAUGUCCUGCCCUCUAAAGCAUGCUGGGGGAGGAUAACCCAUGUGAGAUGUCCUCACCCAGCAACUGAGAAACCCUUCUACCAGAGUUUGGGAGCUGUGUGUGCACCCAAUUUUCAGUUAUGUGGAAGCAAGGUAAGAGAAAACCUGGGUAUAAGUGAUUGUGUGGAAGCAAGGUAAGAGGGAAACCUGGGUAGCUUUUCCUCUUACCUUGUUUCCACACAAUGAGCCGGGUCUCAUGAUCAGUGAGACCCGGUUUGGAAGGGUGAGAGCAGAGCAGAGCUCAAGAGCAGAGCGGGAGCCCUGGGUGGCUGGAUCAGCCGCCCACAUGAUUGCUGGCUCCAUGACAGCUCUGUGAUGGAGCCGGCGGGGGCUGAAGAGCUCAGGGCCCCCGGAAGCUCCAGUAUGCCCUGCACAAGUGUGCAGGGCAUACUGGGGAGACCCCCAGAGCUGGGAGGUGGCUUUUCGCCUCCCCUCUGGGGGUCUACUCAUGAGUAACUGCGGCACGGAGCCACACCGUGGCUACUGACAAUAUUUAAAACCUGGUUUGUGGAGCGCUCGCUCCUCAAACCUGGCUUUAGAGCAGGGGUAGUUAGGCGGGUUACACGAUGUUGUUCACACAUUGUUCACAUGAUGGAGCGAAAUCGGUCUCGCCUCCGCUAGCCCGAUUUCACUCCAUCGUGUGAAUAGCCUCAAUCACUUCUACCUAGGUUUUCCUCUUACUUUGCUUCCACACAAAUCACUUCUACCCAGGUUUUCCGCUUACCUUCUACACAACCAAGAAUUGGGAGCAUACACAGCUCCCAAAUCCGGGUAGAACACAGAUUUUGAUUGUGUGAAUGACCUCUACUUGUAACAAUUUAGGGUUCCUUGGGUUUGCACAAUUAGAAAGUUUUCAAUAGACAAUAGUAUUUGAAAAUGCCCUGAGUCAGUCCUCUUUAUCCAAAACAGGAUUUUAUUAAUUAACAUGAAUAAAAUAGCUAGGUUUCUACAUGAGAAGAAACCAAUUAAAAUGCCAGAAAUGUUGGGGUUAUCUGAUUUGAUUAUAUAAGCUAUGGGUUUCUGAGGAAAGGGAAUUUCAGGGUGUUUUGAACUGUCUUUUUUUGUUCUCCUUAAUCUAUCUUUUUAAAAUUUGUACCCCAAAGAAAGGAAUUCCUCCCAUAUGGGACAAGUCCUUCCCUGGGUAUACCUCUAUUUUCCCUUUUUAAGCUAAAUUUUAUUUUCAUACACUGCAUGUUCAGCCCUUCCUUGUUUGGGGGUUUUAGCUUAAAGCAUGGCUUGGGGGUUCUUUUCUCCUAUUUUGUUCCUGUUCUCUUCUCCUCAAGAAUUUUUGGAGGAGACGUUUCCCCUAUUUUUAAAUAAGCAGCUUCAUUUUUAGUUGGAACGUUUGCUUUUUAUCCGUUUGGGGAGUACAACCCACAAGCUGUUUUCCUAGAGGAUGAAUAGAAUGCUUCUAACUUCUGGAGACUCCCGAGGUCUCUCCCAUCUGAAGACUGCUGUCUUGGAAGACUCAGCUGAAAGGUAGCCUAAAAAUAUUGCCUGAGAAUCCACAUUUCCUGGGAAACCCAACUACUGUGUGUCCCUGGCACAGACAGACACUGGUGAUAUCACUUUGGAAGGCAAAUUCACACAGUAUGCUUUCAGUAAGAACUUCAGUGUAGGAGACAGCAUGAAACCAGAACAGAUUGUCACGUGAUACAUGUAUCUUGGGGUGUACACAGGCCAGGAAAUAUCAACAAAUAAUGGCUUCUCAAUGCACACAUCGAUUGUUACAUGUGCUGAUAUAGACACCAGUUUCAUUCUAUUUUCUACUCUGCAGUAAAAGCCACUAAAAGUCCCAGGGCACCUUAAAGACAAACUAUUUUAUUAUUUCCCACUCUUCCUUCCAGGAGCCGAGAGCACUGAAAAUGAGUUAUGGUUACCCUUACAACAACCUGUGAAGCUGAUUAAGCUGAAAGGCCCAGAAUCACCCAGUGAAUAUCAUGGGUGAAUAGCGAUUUGAACCUGGGUCUCUUCAGUCCUGUUCCACCAUUCCAACCACUACACCAUACUGGCUGUAUUGAUUAAACUAUCAGCGCUGGAAUGCUCAAACAAGAAAUGCUCAACUAUUCAGAGGUCUCCCACAAUACUUGUUCUGGAUUUGCAAUUAAUCUACUGCAUGCCCUCUAACAGUACUGUACCAGGAAAAUAAUUCUUAAUUUUUUUUUAACCAAUAAAGUUUGAAGCAAGAUAACUUGCACUAUUUAAUAUAGUAUCACAGCCAGAAACAAAAGGCAGACUUGCAUGAUAGCAUGAAGAUUUCCUUGGUCACUCUUCCAUGUUUUCAUACUGAUGAUUGUGUACAGCAGGAACACACAAUAUUGAACUCACAAGAGAAUAUAUAUAUAAAAGGCUUUAUUAAAUUACCUUAUCUUUAAAAAAAUCCUUCUUGGUCCUCGUGAUCUUUUUACUUCAAUCAGCCUCUUUCCACUGUCAAUAAGCUAUACUCACUCUCUCUCUCUCUCUCUCUCUCUCUCUCUCUCUCUCUCUCACACACACACACACACACACACACACACACACACACACAC